CAUGCUGAAAUUGACAUGGUUGAUUUUGUAACACAAUUAUACACAUUCAAGUUCUGAAAUCGACAAUUGUCAUCGUCAUUGGAAUGCAACUGGAAUACACAUUCUGAGGUCACAUAGGUUCAAACAAUACUCAGUCCGGCAGUGGGCGGAGCUUUAAAGCGAUAUCUUCUGUAGGGCUGUAUCUGUAUAGUAGGACACCCAAUUGCAGGAUAAAAACUAUUAUCCUGCAAUUGGGUGUCCUACUAUACAGAUACAACCCUACAGAUAUCGCUAUGCUGUAUCUGUAUACUAUACAGAUAUCGCUUUAAGCUCCGCCCACUGCCGGACUGAGUAUUGUUUGAACCUGUGUGACCUCAGAAUGUGUAUUCCAGUUGCAUUCCAAUGACGAUGACAACUGUCGAUUUCAAAACCUGAAUGUGUAUGAUUGUGUUACAAAAUCAACCAUGUCAAUUUCAGCAUGCAUGUUUAGUGAAUGUCAAGUUUGAAGCGUAGGACAAGUCGUACACUUCUGUUUCAAAUUUGACAAUGUUUUGUUAUUUGUUUUUACUGUUGAAAUUAGUUGUUAUGUUAAAAUAGAUAAUUAUUCACCUUAAGCGAUGUAUUAUUGUUGACCAUUCGAGAUUCUUUUUUGCGAACCCGUCUUCAGCGUAAUGUGAUUUUGAUAUUACUACGCGGGCCUCAAGGGAUUACAAAUCGAAAAUAAAUGCUAAAUAUGUUAGUUUUUUGUGUCUUUCAAAACACAAACCAUAUACAGAAUUAAUUGCAGGAUAAAGACAAUAACUGUUUAGUGUCUUUAAAUAUCACCUGUAUUUGUACUCGGCUCGAAACAGGUGUAGUAGCUCGC
RNAcentral lists this long non-coding RNA (844 nucleotides) under Mytilus galloprovincialis (Mediterranean mussel). Lineage: Eukaryota; Metazoa; Mollusca; Bivalvia; Mytilida; Mytilidae. The record is from RNAcentral.